AUUGAACGCUGGCGGAAUGCUUUACACAUGCAAGUCGAGCGGCAGCGCGGGGCGACCUGGCGGCGAGCGGCGAACGGGUGAGUAACAUAUCGGAACGUGUCCUUUAGUGGGGGAUAACGCAGCGAAGGCUGUGCUAAUACCGCAUACGAUCGAGAGAUGAAAGCGGGGGAUCGCAAGACCUCGCGCUAAAGGAGUGGCCGAUAUCAGAUUAGCUAGUUGGUGAGGUAAAGGCUCACCAAGGCGACGAUCUGUAGCUGGUCUGAGAGGAUGAUCCGCCACACUGGGACUGAGACACGGCCCAGACUCCUACGGGAGGCAGCAGUGGGGAAUAUUGGACAAUGGACGAAAGUCUGAUCCAGCAAUACCGCGUGAAUGAUGAAGGCCUUAGGGUUGUAAAGUUCUUUUAGUAGGGAAGAUAAUGACGGUACCUACAGAAAAAGCCCCGGCUAACUCCGUGCCAGCAGCCGCGGU
This 471-nucleotide ribosomal RNA is filed under the name uncultured bacterium. RNAcentral's name for it is "bacterial SSU rRNA". It matches the Rfam family "Bacterial small subunit ribosomal RNA", at positions 30 to 521 of the family's 1533-position model. The record is from RNAcentral.